This is a small nuclear RNA of Psammomys obesus (fat sand rat), 104 nucleotides long. The record is from RefSeq and is a predicted model, not a curated record. NCBI's taxonomy places the organism in Eukaryota, Metazoa, Chordata, Mammalia, Rodentia, Muridae.
UUUCUUUUGGCAGCACAUAUUCUAAAACUGAAAUGAUAUGGAGAAUAAUAGCACAGCCACUAUGUAAGGACAUCAUAAAAAUUCAUGAAGAGUUCCAGAUAGAU